Molecule: ribosomal RNA, 603 nt
Filed under: Curvibasidium nothofagi
Lineage: Eukaryota; Fungi; Basidiomycota; Microbotryomycetes
Description: eukaryotic LSU rRNA
Rfam family: Eukaryotic large subunit ribosomal RNA
Source: RNAcentral
UCUACAGGGCAUCGCCUAGUACGGCGAGUGAAGCGGGAAGAGCUCAAAUUUGUAAUCUGGCACUUUCAGUGUCCGAGUUGUAAUCUCGAGAAGUGUUUUCCGCGCCGGACCGCAUACAAGUCUGUUGGAAUACAGCGUCAUAGUGGUGAGAACCCCGUAACUGAUGCGGAUGCCCGGUGCUUUGUGAUACACUUUCGAAGAGUCGAGUUGUUUGGGAAUGCAGCUCAAAUUGGGUGGUAAAUUCCAUCUAAAGCUAAAUAUUGGCGAGAGACCGAUAGCGAACAAGUACCGUGAGGGAAAGAUGAAAAGCACUUUGGAAAGAGAGUUAACAGUACGUGAAAUUGUUGGAAGGGAAACGAUUGAAGUCAGACUUGUUAUCUGGAGUUCAGCCUUUCGGUGUACUCUCCAGUUUACAGGCCAGCAUCAGUUUUCGGGGCGGGAAAAUCGUAAUUAGAAGGUAGCAGCCUACCUGUGUUAUAGCUUUUUACUGGAUUCCGCUUUGGGGACUGACGAACGCAAUGUGCUUUUAUCAAUACCCUCGGGUAUUUCACACUUACGAUGCUGGUGGAAUGGCUUUAAACGACCAGUCUUGAACACGGACCA